Molecule: unclassified non-coding RNA, 213 nt
Filed under: plant metagenome
Description: partial contains small subunit ribosomal RNA, internal transcribed spacer 1, and 5.8S ribosomal RNA
Source: RNAcentral
UUUCCGUAGGUGAACCUGCGGAAGGAUCAUUCAUAAUAAGUGUUUUAUGGCACUUUUUUAAAUCCAUAUCCACCUUGUGUGCAAUGUCAGGGUUGAUUUUUCUCUCGAGAGGAUCAACCCCAAACAUCAACUAUAUCUCAACUCUUUGUCUGAGAAAUAUUAUGAAUAAAACAAUUCAAAAUACAACUUUCAACAACGGAUCUCUUGGUUCUC